This 253-nucleotide ribosomal RNA is filed under the name uncultured bacterium. Its description in RNAcentral is "partial 16S ribosomal RNA". It matches the Rfam family "Bacterial small subunit ribosomal RNA", at positions 524 to 775 of the family's 1533-position model. The record is from RNAcentral.
UACGAAGGGGGCUAGCGUUGCUCGGAAUCACUGGGCGUAAAGGGUGCGUAGGCGGGUCUUUAAGUCAGGGGUGAAAUCCUGGAGCUCAACUCCAGAACUGCCUUUGAUACUGAAGAUCUUGAGUUCGGGAGAGGUGAGUGGAACUCCGAGUGUAGAGGUGAAAUUCGUAGAUAUUCGGAAGAACCACCAGUGGCGAAGGCGACUCACUGGCCCGAUACUGACGCUGAGGCGCGAAAGCGUGGGGAGCAAACGG